This 253-nucleotide ribosomal RNA is filed under the name uncultured bacterium. RNAcentral's name for it is "partial 16S ribosomal RNA". It matches the Rfam family "Bacterial small subunit ribosomal RNA", at positions 524 to 776 of the family's 1533-position model. The record is from RNAcentral.
UACGGGGGGAGCAAGCGUUGUUCGGAUUUACUGGGCGUAAAGGGCGCGUAGGCGGCGUAACAAGUCACUUGUGAAAUCUCCGGGCUUAACUCGGAACGGUCAAGUGAUACUGUCGUGCUAGAGUACAGAAGGGGCAACUGGAAUUCUCGGUGUAGCGGUGAAAUGCGUAGAUAUCGAGAGGAACACCUGCGGCGAAGGCGGGUUGCUGGGCUGAUACUGACGCUGAGGCGCGAAAGCCAGGGGAGCGAACGGG